GCCUCGAUAGCUCAGUUGGGAGAGCGUCAGACUGAAGAUCUGAAGGUCCCUGGUUCGAUCCCGAGCCGCGGCA
This 73-nucleotide transfer RNA is filed under the name Phytophthora megakarya. It matches the Rfam family "tRNA". Rfam says of the family: Transfer RNA (tRNA) molecules are approximately 80 nucleotides in length. Their secondary structure includes four short double-helical elements and three loops (D, anti-codon, and T loops). Further hydrogen bonds mediate the characteristic L-shaped molecular structure. tRNAs have two regions of fundamental functional importance: the anti-codon, which is responsible for specific mRNA codon recognition, and the 3' end, to which the tRNAs corresponding amino acid is attached (by aminoacyl-tRNA synthetases). tRNAs cope with the degeneracy of the genetic code in two manners: having more than one tRNA (with a specific anti-codon) for a particular amino acid; and 'wobble' base-pairing, i.e. permitting non-standard base-pairing at the 3rd anti-codon position. The record is from Rfam by way of RNAcentral. Lineage: Eukaryota; Oomycota; Peronosporomycetes; Peronosporales; Peronosporaceae.